CAAUAGCGUAUAUUAAAGUUGUUGCAGUUAAAAAGCUCGUAGUUGGAUUUGUGGUGUGUCCAGUCGGCCUUUGCUCUCUGAGUGAUUGUGCUGUACUGGUCUGCCAUGUUUGGGUGGAAUCUGUGUGGCAUUAAGUUGUCGUGCAGGGGAUGCCCAUCGUUUACUGUGAAAAAAUUAGAGUGUUCAAAGCAGGCUUAUGCCGUUGAAUAUAUUAGCAUGGAAUAAUGAUAUAGGACCUUGGUACUAUUUUGUUGGUUUGCGCACUAAGGUAAUGAUUAAGAGGGACAGUUGGGGGUAUUUGUAUUCCAUUGUCAGAGGUGAAAUUCUUAGAUUUUUGGAAGACAAACUACUGCGAAAGCAUUUACCAAGGAUGUUUUCAUUAG
Molecule: ribosomal RNA, 383 nt
Filed under: uncultured eukaryote
Lineage: Eukaryota
Description: partial 18S ribosomal RNA
Rfam family: Eukaryotic small subunit ribosomal RNA
Source: RNAcentral